Papaver somniferum (opium poppy) is the source of this 623-nucleotide RNA transcript. It is a transcript of the gene named low temperature-induced protein lt101.2-like, with no coding region annotated. The transcript is spliced from 2 exons. NCBI's taxonomy places the organism in Eukaryota, Viridiplantae, Streptophyta, Magnoliopsida, Ranunculales, Papaveraceae. The record is from RefSeq and is a predicted model, not a curated record.
ACUUUUCACACAAGCUUCAUUGUGAACACUAUUCUCAUUUCCAACAUGUUUUUCUAACUUAUCAGGUUGACUCCAAUUUGAAAAACCUGCAUUGACAAAUGCAUCACAAACACUUUUACCCUUAACAUAACUUCUGAAAAGAUAACAAGGCAAGCAAAACGCAACAUCUUUGGAAAUGUUAUACUCUAACCAACUUUCAUGUUUUAAGAACCAAGAUUCGUUGAAACGUCUUGAUGGCUUCUUUUUCGCAUUAGAUUUUGUGGAAAGGGAAAGUUCUUAGGUUGGCAGGGACACCUUUGCAUAUAAGCUCUUCGUACUUUAUCUUGAUCAUUUGGAUGAUAACUCAAGAUCAGCUUUCUCAGUGCAGGGUCUGUUUGAAGAUUCAAUAUCGAUAACUCAUUUACAAUAGUGGAAGCUAAUUGUGGACUAGGAACAUGGGCAGAAAGAACUAGUGGACCAUGAAUACCAGAAGAUAGAGGUACUUGAGUACUAGAAAUUGAAGGAACUUGUUUUAGACCCGGUGGAAUAGAAGAUGAAGGAAUAUCAGGUGGAAUUCUGGAUUUGUUUGUUGUUGACGAUAUUGGGAUACAUUCCUGGAAUUAUAUAUGCAAUUUAUGUGUUAG